UUUAUAANUUUUUAUUUUAUUAAUUUAUUAUAAGGAAUUAGGCAAAUUUGAUUUCCGCCUGUUUAUCAAAAACAUGUCCUCUUGNAAAAUAUUUUGAGGUCUGGCCUGCUCACUGAGCGAUUUUUUUUUGAAGAGCCGCGGUAUUUUGACCGUGCAAAGGUAGCAUAAUCAUUAGUCUCUUAAUUAGUGGCUGGAAUGAAUGGCUUGACGAGAAAUCAACUGUCUCUUAAUAAGUAAUUGAAUUUAACUUUUGAGUCAAAAGGCUUAAAUUUUUCUUUAGGACGAGAAGACCCUAUAGAGCUUAACAUUUUAUUUUUAUAUAGUUUUUUGAUGGUCUUUCUAUAUUUAAUGAUGAUGUUUUGUUGGGGUGACAUGAAGAAUAAAUAAACUCUUCAUUAUUAUAUCAUUGAUUUAUGUNNNUUUAUUUGAUCCAUAAUUUAUGAUCAUAAGAUUAAGUUACCUUAGGGAUAACAGCGUAAUUGUUUUCGAGAGCUCAUAUCGACAAAGCAGAUUGCGACCUCGAUGUUGGAUUAAGAAAAAUUUUGGGUGCAGUAGCCCAUUAAUUAGGUCUGUUCGACCUUUAAAUUCUUACAUGAUCUGAGUUCAGACCGGCGUGAGCCAGGUCGGUUUCUAUCCUAAGAUUUAUUAAUCCAUAUUAGUACGAAAGGACCAUAUGGUUAAAAUANNUUUUUUANUAGAUNUGAUUAAUAUUAAUUAAUUU
RNAcentral lists this ribosomal RNA (721 nucleotides) under Acanthacris ruficornis. Its description in RNAcentral is "partial 16S ribosomal RNA". It matches the Rfam family "Bacterial large subunit ribosomal RNA", at positions 1742 to 2741 of the family's 2925-position model. The record is from RNAcentral. Lineage: Eukaryota; Metazoa; Arthropoda; Insecta; Orthoptera; Acrididae.